UACGAAGGGGGCUAGCGUUGUUCGGAAUUACUGGGCGUAAAGCGCACGUAGGCGGAUAUUUAAGUCAGGGGUGAAAUCCCAGAGCUCAACUCUGGAACUGCCUUUGAUACUGGGUAUCUGGAGUAUGGAAGAGGUGAGUGGAAUUCCGAGUGUAGAGGUGAAAUUCGUAGAUAUUCGGAGGAACACCAGUGGCGAAGGCGGCUCACUGGUCCAUUACUGACGCUGAGGUGCGAAAGCGUGGGGAGCAAGCAGG
This 253-nucleotide ribosomal RNA is filed under the name uncultured bacterium. RNAcentral describes it as "partial 16S ribosomal RNA". It matches the Rfam family "Bacterial small subunit ribosomal RNA", at positions 524 to 776 of the family's 1533-position model. The record is from RNAcentral.